AGAAUGAGGAUGAGCCAAGGAUGACUUGCCGAUUUUAUCAACAAAUCUUGACUGAUUAUGAUUGUUCGGCAAGUUGACUUUGGCUCUGUUUCCUUCAUG
This is a microRNA precursor of Capsella rubella, 99 nucleotides long. NCBI's taxonomy places the organism in Eukaryota, Viridiplantae, Streptophyta, Magnoliopsida, Brassicales, Brassicaceae. The record is from Rfam.